GAUGAACGCUGGCGGCGUGCCUAAUACAUGCAAGUCGAGCGAACAGACGAGGAGCCUGCUCCUCUGACGUUAGCGGCGGACGGGUGAGUAACACGUGGAUAACCUACCUAUCAGUCUGGGAUAACUUCGGGAAACCGGAGCUAAUACCGGAUAAUAUAUUGAACCGCAUGGUUCAAUAGUGAAAGACGGUUUUGCUGUCACUUAUAGAUGGAUCCGCGCCGCAUUAGCUAGUUGGUAAGGUAACGGCUUACCAAGGCAACGAUGCGUAGCCGACCUGAGAGGGUGAUCGGCCACACUGGAGCUGAGACACGGUCCAGACUCCUACGGGAGGCAGCAGUAGGGAAUCUUCCGCAAUGGUCGAAAGCCUGACGGAGCAACGCCGCGUGAGUGAUGAAGGUCUUCGGAUCGUAAAACUCUGUUAUUAGGGAAGAACAAAUGUGUAAGUAACUAUGCACGUCUUGACGGUACCUAAUCAGAAAGCCACGGCUAACUACGUG
RNAcentral lists this ribosomal RNA (497 nucleotides) under uncultured bacterium. RNAcentral describes it as "partial 16S ribosomal RNA". It matches the Rfam family "Bacterial small subunit ribosomal RNA", at positions 28 to 507 of the family's 1533-position model. The record is from RNAcentral.